AUAUAAAAAUCACAUAUAAUUCUCCUUUCCAUUGACUAUUGAUAUGUGGAAAUUUUGUGAUAGAAAUCAUUCUGUCUCUAGAGUCUUCAUUUGGAAGAAAAAAGAUGGGAAAAUUUACCUCUGGUCUUUUGGACACUUUUAGCCUAAUGAGUUUGAGGGAAGGAGGGACAAUGAGAGAGAUGAGAAAUUUAUGAGAAUAAGAGGGACAAAAUUUGUGUAUCAGGUGAACUUCAGUUAUUCGGGCCAGCAUCUUGGGUGAUUUUGCAAAAGUGAUUUGUUGGAAAAAUGAGUUUGUUACAGGCAGAGCAAGAGCCCUUCCCUGACUCGUGAAGACGUUGUGUGAUGGCUUCUGCAUCAAUGGCCCGGCAGCUGUCCCUGCAGCCCCAUUUUGCAGGGGGAAGCAGGGACAGCAUGGUGAGAGGGAGCCGGGAAACUGGUUGGGAGGAAGUAGGCCUGAGGGUUUGAACCCUCAGCAACAUUACCAUUAGCUUCUCCUCGAUCCUCAGUUAGAGCCCCAUUUCAGGGGAGAUGGUGGUGCGGAGUGCGGAGGGGAGGGGCUCCCCCUUCUCCCUUCCUCCCCUUUCCCUUUCUGACCUCCCCUCCCUCCCUCUCUCUCCUUUUCUAUCGUCUUCCUUUUCUCCCGUUUAGUCAACCAGCUUCUCAACAAUCCAGGACUCCCUCCUGUCCCCCAGGCUAGGCAGUCUGUCCCGCUUCCUCUGGAAUUUGUUUUCCACCAGCCAUCCUGGGAUAUUCCUGCCUCACUAUUUCCUCUGCACCCCAACUGAGCCAAUCCCAGGCAGAUGGACAAAAUGGUGGUGCAGGAGAACCUCCCUGGCUCAUGAAGGAGUCCUGUGAUUGUGUCUGAGUCUCUGGCCUGGCAGCUGUCCCGGCAGCCCCAUUUUGCAGGGGGGCAGCUGGGACAGCCUGGUGAGAGGGAACUGGGGAAACUGGGGGCUAGGAGGUGGAAAUUUCGACGUUUAUCCUGUUGGCAUUACCACUCGGUGCCCCCUAGGUCUCGGUGAGAGCCACAAUGCAGGGGGCACGGUGGCAGUGGAGGGAGGAAAGGGAAGGGGCGAAUCAAUGGCGGGGGUCUUCUGUUUCUCCCCUCUUUUCCUCUUUCUAUUGAGCCAAUGUCGUCACCUCACCUCCCUAACUCUUAAUCUGUUUUUAUCUAUCCCCUUCCUUAUCCUUCCCCACCACCUCCACAACAAUACUCCUAGUCAAACAGUCCCCCCAUGUUCUAGGCCACGAUCCCCAGAACUCUCCAUAUGGUCCAGCUUCCUCUGGAAUUCACCAGCCUGCAGACAGACAUCUCAGACACGAUUGACUCUUCCUUGGCACCACGGCCCAGGGGAGGAUAUGGCAAAGAAACCCGAUUUCAAGGAAAAAAUGGACGUGCCUGAGGAAGUACCCUGAGGGGAAUCCGGGGAGACAGCGCAGGACCCCCAGGAGGAAGCAGAUCGGAGGGGAAAUCCAGGAGAAUUGAGGACACCAAAACAUAUGGAGAGGAGACAAGGAACUGACUGCCUGACAAAAGAAAAAAAUGAGUAUCUCAAAUUGUUUCUGGUGUGGGAGGAAAUCCUUAUAUCGUUCUAACCAAAUGAAUCUUUAUAAAAGCCCAGUUCCUAGCCAUUAGCACGUUUUACCUGCGGUAUCUUUGUCUCAGACUUACUAAUCUAAGACAUUGGAGAAGAAAAUGAACUAACAAUUUCCUCACAUAAUAUUUACUCAAUCCAUUUUCAGCGGAAAGAACUUGAGUAAGUAUUGCUUUUGCACUUUAAAACUUGAGUCAGGGAAAGAGAGGAGAUGUAAUCAGCCUAAAUAUCUUGGCCAGUAAUUUCAUAGAGGACAGACAGAAUGGAGUUUGGUAGAAAAUAAUUAAAUAGGACAUUAACAUUAGGUCAAAAGGAGCCUUAGUGUAAAUUUCCAAAGGAAAUUUACUUUAUAUCCCCGUAAACCUCCGAUAGAGUUCCGUAGCAUAAACCGCUGUGAUUUUCAAGAGUUCUCUCCCCUGACUAUUGGUUUGGGUGACUGUUGUGAGGAUUUUGAUCAGACGAGGGGAAAGCAAAUAACUUGUGACACAGCGGCAAUCGUAUAAUAACGCUUAUUUGAAACGGAUUUGGAGUAGGGCUCUCCACCUGCUUUAGUCUAGGAAAGUGAAGGAGUGGCUCUGCUCUCAAACCCAGUUUGGUUUUUUUUCAGAAACCUGAACUACCCACAUCGCCUGCCGUUGACAAGGGAAGUGGAGAUGUCAGCCGUGGGUGGGCGAGGUGGGCCAGAUGGAGAGAUGCCAGGUGC
This is a long non-coding RNA of Ornithorhynchus anatinus (platypus), 2298 nucleotides long. RefSeq lists it as uncharacterized. NCBI's taxonomy places the organism in Eukaryota, Metazoa, Chordata, Mammalia, Monotremata, Ornithorhynchidae. The record is from RefSeq and is a predicted model, not a curated record. The transcript has 3 exons.